GGAAGAAUUUUCUUAGAACCAAAAGGCAUGGAAUUGAUGACAUGAAACUGCCUGAGCUUCUCAGCUGACCUGUGAUGGAGUGUUGUGCCCAAGUGGAAAGUUCUUCUUUCUUUCAGAGACAUAUCAUUCACCAUAAAAUACAACCAGAGACUUCAAAAUUACUCCAGGCUAGAAGGACACUCCAAUUAGGGGAAAAGUAACCUAUGGGCAAACCAUCUUCCGUAAGAGUUCAAGGACAAAAAACUACUGAUGUUGUAAUAACAUUGAAACUUAAUGUUUUGGGCAAUCCUUAAGUGAUUUAUUUGGAGUGUCCCAGUCAUUUUAGACCUCUUCACCUUACAAUGUAUUGUGUGAGAUUAUAUUUCCAUGCACCUAAUUUUAAAAUAAAUUUAUUUAGGUAGAUGUAGAGACAUAUUACUGUGAUAAAGCAGUUCAUACCAAAUAAAAUUUAGCUAA
RNAcentral lists this long non-coding RNA (456 nucleotides) under Homo sapiens (human). RNAcentral describes it as "non-protein coding lnc-MED10-11:6". The record is from RNAcentral. Lineage: Eukaryota; Metazoa; Chordata; Mammalia; Primates; Hominidae.